CUUUUGUUCUGGAAGAUACUAGUAGUGAUUAGAUGGUGUGGGUCUUUGUUUCUUUUUUUUUUUCUAUAACCAAAGAGAAACUUGUAACCAUUUGGUUUAGGAUUUUGUUUAUUGUUUAUUAGUACUAUGUCUUUCUAUACACGAUGGAACGAAGAACUUUUUUUUUUUUUUCACUUCAAUAUCAUAUAUUACAUUGGUUGUUUUACUAUUAUAUUGGUAAUAUUAGAUCCAAAAUCGGUGUAAUAAACUUUAAAUAACCGAUGUAAAAAUAUUUUUGCAUUUAUG
RNAcentral lists this long non-coding RNA (285 nucleotides) under Vigna radiata. RNAcentral's name for it is "long non-coding RNA (VRAD_LNC015963)". The record is from RNAcentral. Lineage: Eukaryota; Viridiplantae; Streptophyta; Magnoliopsida; Fabales; Fabaceae.